This is a long non-coding RNA of Magnolia sinica, 325 nucleotides long. RefSeq lists it as uncharacterized. The record is from RefSeq and is a predicted model, not a curated record. Lineage: Eukaryota; Viridiplantae; Streptophyta; Magnoliopsida; Magnoliales; Magnoliaceae. The transcript is spliced from 2 exons.
UGGAGCGAGUCUUCAUUUCUAUCUCACAAAAGUGCUGUCCAAAUAGAGUAGGCUCUGUACUUUCUGGGAAUUAUAGGAGUGCACAUGGUCUUCUGUUGACAUCAUCUGAGGAUGAAACAAGUGUUCAUGGCGCAAUUGAUAUGAGCCCAACAGCUUAUCAAUCCAAGGGAAUUAAUCAGUGGGAAACACUUGAACAUUAUCUUGUAUGUGGCUACUUCAUUGCUUCCUCAAAUUUGAUCUUUACAAGUAUUUGGUUAUGGAAAUGGCUGUAGUGAGGGCUGGCUGUUGACAUUUCUUUUUAAUUCAAGAAUGUGAAUUUCUGUUA